ACAGUUCAUCAGAGGCUGCAAUGUAUUGAGCAAAGGAGUUGCCAGUAAAGGUCCUAAACCAGAGGUGGUGCUGGUGGUAGGAGAAGAGACUCUCCAUGAUCUCACACGCUGAACCCUCAGAGAGAUUCAUAGAAACUGGCGGGAUGUUUCUGUGAGGAUCUGCAAAACUCCUUUUCCCUCAGCAGAGAUCCGAAGAGGGGGCUGUUCCACACAGUUUUUCAAAGCAUAAAUGCCAUCACAAAGCCAAUCUUGUCUCUCUUUGAGGGGGGAGCUUGUGCCAGCAUUGCAUAAACUACAGUUGAAACAUGGUGACUUUCAGAUGGAAGCCUGGGUGACAUCCUACUACAGUUGAAACAUGGUGUCUUUCAGAUGGAAGCCUGGGUGACAUCCUUGUGAGCAGGCCAGAAGAGUGAAUGGAAUGUCGCAUGUCUUUCAUUGGAACCAACCUUUCAAGUGGUUUCCAUAGCAUGGGACGAACACCGGAAAAUAUGCUCUCCUGUAUGUGUCAGCUGGUGCUCCACAAAUGGUGGUAGUCUCCAAAAAGACUGUUCUGAAGAUCUAAACAUCCUGAUAGGUUUACAGAGAAAGACAUGCCACCCUGAGGAUUCUACUGGUUGGGGUUUUAAAAGCAGAAAUCAAGACAAUGAACUUUGGUCCAAAGAGCAACUCGCAACCAAUACAAAGCUUUCAGUAUCGCAGUAAUAUGACUCUGAUAUGAUAUCAUAUCAGCCUAUCUGCUGCAUUUUUCACAAAACUGAAGCUUUUGAACAGUUUCGAAGGAUAAUCCCACAGAGAAUGCAAUUGCAAGGCACAAAUUGAGGCAUGGGUGGCUGCUGCCAAGUGAAGCUGGCCUGGUUUGCUUCUAAGUCACACUAACCUUUCAUGGGAGCAUGUUGUGUUUGUCAUGAAUGCAGUAAUUGCUUGUAUUGUCAUAUGCACUCUUCUGUUAGGUCUCUAAAGUUAUAUAUAUGUAAUUAAAGUUGUAUUACCUCAUAACAGCUCUUCAUCGUUCUUUGGCCAAGUUUAGCAGUGUUAGUAGCAAUCAG
This 1046-nucleotide long non-coding RNA is filed under the name Pogona vitticeps (central bearded dragon). RNAcentral's name for it is "lncRNA (ENSPVIG00000008567.1)". Lineage: Eukaryota; Metazoa; Chordata; Lepidosauria; Squamata; Agamidae. The record is from RNAcentral.